This 325-nucleotide ribosomal RNA is filed under the name uncultured eukaryote. RNAcentral's name for it is "partial 18S ribosomal RNA". It matches the Rfam family "Eukaryotic small subunit ribosomal RNA", at positions 1470 to 1796 of the family's 1831-position model. The record is from RNAcentral.
CCCUUAGAUGUUCUGGGCCGCACGCGCGCUACACUGAUGCAUUCAACGAGCCUAUCCUUGACCGACAGGUCCGGGUAAUCUUUGAAUCUGCAUCGUGACGGGGAUAGAUUAUUGCAAUUAUUAAUCUUCAACGAGGAAUGCCUAGUAGGCGCAAGUCAGCAGCUUGCGUCGAUUACGUCCCUGCCCUUUGUACACACCGCCCGUCGCUCCUACCGAUUGGGUGUGCUGGUGAAAUGUUCGGAUCGGCCGUUUGUCGCGGUUUCCGCGUCAUGUGGCUGAGAAGUUCAUUAACCCCUCCCACCUAGAGGAAGGAGAAGUCGUAACA